GGAGACGCCCGAAGCCGAUUAUCUAACCUUUUGGAAGAAGUCGUCGAAGGUGGAAUCAAUAACUGGGGUGAAGUCGUAACAAGGUAGCCGUAUCGGAAGGUGCGGCUGGAUCACCUCCUUUCUAAGGAGAAUUACCUACUGUUUAAUUUUG
Molecule: ribosomal RNA, 151 nt
Filed under: Clostridioides difficile NAP08
Lineage: Bacteria; Bacillati; Bacillota; Clostridia; Peptostreptococcales; Peptostreptococcaceae
Description: partial 23S ribosomal RNA
Rfam family: Bacterial small subunit ribosomal RNA (bases 1-121)
Source: RNAcentral